AACCGACCCUGGUGAGGAGGUAAUUUAGUGGUUUUCAAACGUCUUUUUCUUUCCUUCCUUCCCUUUUCAGGGGCAUUCCCCAAAUAGAGUAAACAAGUCAGCGUGACCUUGGAUGAGGUCGCUUUCUCGGUCCCCAACUCAGCGUGAAACCCUGCCCCUAGUCAGACCCUUUGCAAAAGGAAACUUCCCGCCGCUGCCCGACUUCCCCAAGGCCAACCUAAAGAUAUCAGGGCCCCCAGAAGCAGCUUUUCUCCCUCGAAAAUCCGGCCUCCUGGGGGGACUCCAAGUGACCCAUGGGGUUGACUCCUGGGAUGGAAAGCAACUGUACGUCUGCCCUCUCGCUACCUCACACCCAGCCCCACCGCCCAGCGCUGUAAACAAAAAGAGUCAAGCCUCCAGAUGAGAAUGCAGAACAGAGGACACCUUGGUUUUGGCUUCAUGAAACCCUAAGCAGAGGACCCAGUUAAGCCAUGCCUAGACUCCUGACCCAGCAAAAUUGUGAGUCUUCAUGAGACAAAAACUAAUGAAGUGGUGCCCUAUGGAUCAGCCACAGGUCGAGGGCUCUCUGGGACUUCCAACUGCAUUUCUGCUUCAAAGACUGUGUAUCUGAGAUCCAUAGCCUUCAUCCCUGCAGGUCCUUUGGGAUAGUCUCUUGACUAAACCUCUGUGGCAGGACAGAAACACAGUCAACUCAGGUUGUACAACUCAAGUUGCUACUGCAAUGUGAAGAAUACUUAUGGUAAACAACUAGGAGCAAUAUUUGAAGAGUUCCUCUGAGAUGACAGCAUAAGAAGACCCUGAACUCACCUCCCGUGGACACACUGAUUUUACACCUACAUACAGAGCAAUUUCUCCUGAAGAAGAACUGAGGGCUGAUUGAACAGCUUCUGCACAACUGACCAUAGAGGGACCACACAGAGACAGUUGUCCUCAUUCUACUCUAAGCCUGUUUCUUCAACUGUAGAAAGAGAAUACAUGCCUACCACUCUGACACCUGGAUGCUCCACCCCUGGUGCUGAGUAGCUGCCUCCCCUUAGCACUGGGUGCUGCCGACCCUGCUGCUGGUGCUCAAGAAAUCUCCUUGCUCUUCUUGCUCCUCUCUGUCCCCUGUUUCAAGGUCUGGAGCCGGUAUAUGGAACAUUUGAGGCCUGAGAUGUUAAUUGCAAAUGAUGC
This is a long non-coding RNA of Physeter macrocephalus (sperm whale), 1173 nucleotides long. RefSeq lists it as uncharacterized. NCBI's taxonomy places the organism in Eukaryota, Metazoa, Chordata, Mammalia, Artiodactyla, Physeteridae. The record is from RefSeq and is a predicted model, not a curated record. The transcript has 7 exons.